GUCGCUACUACCGAUUGAAUGGCUCGGUGAGGCCUUCGGACUGGCUCAGGAGGGUUGGCAACGACCCCCCAGAGCCGGAAAGUUGGUCAAACCCGGUCAUUUAGAGGAAGUAAAAGUCGUAACAAGGUUUCCGUAGGUGAACCUGCGGAAGGAUCAUUA
This 159-nucleotide ribosomal RNA is filed under the name Aspergillus carbonarius. Its description in RNAcentral is "partial 18S ribosomal RNA". It matches the Rfam family "Eukaryotic small subunit ribosomal RNA", at positions 1675 to 1831 of the family's 1831-position model. Lineage: Eukaryota; Fungi; Ascomycota; Eurotiomycetes; Eurotiales; Aspergillaceae. The record is from RNAcentral.